GUCUACGAAUACACCACCCUGAACACGCCCAAGCUCAUCUGAUCUCCGAAGCUAAGCAGGUUCAGGCAUGGUUAGUACUUGGAUGGGAGACA
Molecule: ribosomal RNA, 92 nt
Filed under: Octodon degus (degu)
Lineage: Eukaryota; Metazoa; Chordata; Mammalia; Rodentia; Octodontidae
Source: RNAcentral